Molecule: ribosomal RNA, 253 nt
Filed under: uncultured bacterium
Lineage: Bacteria
Description: partial 16S ribosomal RNA
Rfam family: Bacterial small subunit ribosomal RNA
Source: RNAcentral
UACGGAGGGUGCGAGCGUUGUCCGGAAUCACUGGGCGUAAAGGGCGCGUAGGCGGCUUGAUAAGUAGGGGGUGAAAUCCUGCGGCUUAACCGCAGGGCUGCCUUCUAAACUGUCAGGCUCGAGCACAGUAGAGGCAGGUGGAAUUCCCGGUGUAGCGGUGGAAUGCGUAGAGAUCGGGAAGAACAUCGGUGGCGAAGGCGGCCUGCUGGGCUGUUGCUGACGCUGAGGCGCGACAGCGUGGGGAGCAAACAGG